CAACCAUCAAGCCCUAGGCUUGUGUUAGAGCCCUGCGGCCGCCCGCAGCCUCCUAAAAUCAGUGGCGGGCUUGCAAACACCCCGAGCGUAGUAGUUUACUCUUUUCUCUGGCGUGUAGCAGGUUCCGGCCGUGAAACCCCUCUAUAUUUUAA
This 152-nucleotide unclassified non-coding RNA is filed under the name uncultured Sordariomycetes. Its description in RNAcentral is "sequence contains ITS2". Lineage: Eukaryota; Fungi; Ascomycota; Sordariomycetes. The record is from RNAcentral.